AGAGAGAGACAUGCGCGCAUAUCAAUAAGCGGAGGAAAAGAAACUAACUAAGGAUUCCCUCAGUAACGGCGAGUGAAGCGGGAAGAGCUCAAAUUUGAAAUCUUCAAGGGUUCUACCUUUACGAAUUGUAGUUUAAAGAAGUGUUUUCUGUUGAGGUUUUGGUAAAAGUUCUUUGGAAUAGGACAUCAUAGAGGGUGAGAAUCCCGUAUUUGACCAUUAUUUCCAGCUUUGUGAUACACUUUCAAAGAGGUCGGAUUGUUUGGGAAUGCAGUCCAAAAUGGGUGGUAAAUUUCAUCUAAAGCUAAAUAUUGGCGAGAGACCGAUAGCGAACAAGUACCGUGAGGGAAAGAUGAAAAGAACUUUGAAAAGAGAGUUAAACAGUACGUGAAAUUGUCAAAAGGGAAGCGUUUGACACCAGUGUUGUUUUCUCGAAAAUCAAUUAAAGAACUGUUUAUGCUAAGUUGUUUAGACUUUAUCAGCUAACUGUUUAGUUUUGAGCUUUUCUUUAAUGCACUUUUCAGUUAACAAGUCAACAUCAAUUUCUUUUGCUGUAAAAAAGCUUGAGGAAGGUGGCUUGAGAUUCGUCUUAAGUGUUUAUAGCCUCUUGCCUAUGCAGUCGGAGAGAUUGAGGUCUGCAGCGUAGAUCCUUCGGGGCUAAAUGCAUUUGUGCUAAGUUAUAGCAUUUUAUAGACAACUUGUUGACUAUGAUUUGUCUUGUAGCUUACUCGCUUAUGCUAUUUUACCUACGCUUAGGAUGUUGAUGUGAUACUGCGAGCA
Molecule: ribosomal RNA, 777 nt
Filed under: uncultured Neocallimastigales
Lineage: Eukaryota; Fungi; Neocallimastigomycota; Neocallimastigomycetes; Neocallimastigales
Description: partial large subunit ribosomal RNA
Rfam family: Eukaryotic large subunit ribosomal RNA
Source: RNAcentral